Molecule: long non-coding RNA, 1488 nt
Organism: Thunnus maccoyii (southern bluefin tuna)
Lineage: Eukaryota; Metazoa; Chordata; Actinopteri; Scombriformes; Scombridae
Exons: 4
Source: RefSeq, a predicted model, not a curated record
AUAUACCUUAUGACAUUAUAAAAUGCUUUAUAAUGUGUUAUGAUUAUUGUUAUAAAGAGUUAUGAAUAUUUAUGAGUUCUUAUAACUAUUGGUAGACGCUACAAUAUACCAAUCUUCCCAAAACCCUUCACACAGGCUAUCGGUAGAUGCUUGCUAGGCAGCUGGGCACAGAGAAGUGUCCAGUCUUCCUUCAGUUACUGCAGGUCAGGAUACUCAGACAGGUGUGUGGCCAGAAGUAAGUUUGGAAAGAUUAAAAUAAUUUUCUUUUAAUGUGAGAUUUACAUAAAUGACGAGUAGAGCUUGCGUGUUGCCAGAGAGAGAGAAAACUACUUAACUGCGCAGUGGAUAAAAAACAUCUUCGGGACUCCAGCAGGCGUUUCCCUCCAAACUGAGGGAUUAUCUUGGGACGAUUGUAUCUGUGAGUGGAGCUGCUUCGUCUGCCAUCCAGAUCAUCAUCGCUGCUCAUGGAUACCUUCAUCUUGACAGACUUAAAAACUGACUACGACUGAUGUCAUAAAGAAACUCAAAGUUGACAAACAACGUUAAAGGAACAUUGGAAGUGAAGGAACCCCAAACCAAAGAAGACUAAUAACCUUAAGACAGGGUCUCAUACACAACAUAUUGAAAGAGCCUGGUGAACAUCUGCCAUUUCAGGGGGAACCAAACGGCCACAGCGCUUAAGAUGAACCUCAGAUUCAUCAAGUGGAACCACCAGUUGGACAAAAAACAUGAUGGAGUGGUUGGAUGCCUUUUUAAAGACAUCGGAGUGUUAUUUAAGGUGUAAAAGUAGCACAACACAAAUGCUGUGUUUUCAUGUCAGAAACCUUGUAUAAAUUUAAUUUCUUUGUUAAUGUAUUGUCUCAAAAUAUAAAAGUGACAUUUGUUGAGUGGUGUGAAGACAUUAUUAUCAGGCCUUAAUAAGCAAGGACUUUUAAAAUGGGCAAUUUGUAACUUGAUUCUUGAUUAUGAAGUUGUAUUUGUCGAUAACUAGCAAUUUAGGGUGGCUACAAUUUUUAAAAAAGGGAUAUUUAGGAAAAUUAUUACAAGGUUGAACUGAUCCGAAAUUAUACAGAAAUGGGUGAGAAUGUAAAUGGAUAAAAAUCAUACUUCAUUUUACUGGCCUGCAGAAGUUAGGCAGAAACUACUUGGAAAUUAAGCUGUAACAACUCACUUCAAUUAGGAGUCUGCUCAGUAGAAAUUAGACAGAAUCUAGUUGGAAGUUAAGCUGGUAUGAUCCACAGAAGUUAAGCAGAAAUUACUUAGCAAUUACGCAGCAACAACUCACUUCAAUUUAGGGUUCCGCUCAGUAGAAAUUAGACGGAAACUAGUUGGAAGUUAAGCUGGUAUGAUCCACAGAAGUUAAGCAGAAAUUAUUUGGAAAUUACGCAGCAACAAUCAUUUCAAUUUAGGGGUCCGCUCAGUAGAAAUUAGACAGAAGCUAGUUGGAAAUUAAGCUGCAAAAACUCACUUACCAUGAAAUUUGAGGUA